GAUGAACGCUGACAGAAUGCUUAACACAUGCCAGUCUACUUGAAUUUGGGUUUUUAACUUAGGUUUGGGUGGCGGACGGGUGAGUAACGCGUAAAGAACUUGCCUCACAGCUAGGGACAACAUUUAGAAAUGAAUGCUAAUACCUAAUAUUAUGAUAAUAGGGCAUCCUAUAAUUAUGAAAGCUAUAAGCGCUGUGAGAGAGCUUUGCGUCCCAUUAGCUAGUUGGAGAGGUAACGGCUCACCAAGGCGAUGAUGGGUAGCCGGCCUGAGAGGGUGGUCGGCCACAAGGGGACUGAGACACGGCCCUUACUCCUACGGGAGGCAGCAGUGGGGAAUAUUGGACAAUGGACCGAGAGUCUGAUCCAGCAAUUCUGUGUGCACGAUGAAGUUUUUCGGAAUGUAAAGUGCUUUCAGUUGGGAAGAAAGAAAUGACGGUACCAACAGAAGAAGUGACGGCUAAAUACGUGCCAGCAGCCGCGGUAAUACGUAUGUCACGAGCGUUAUCCGGAUUUAUUGGGCGUAAAGCGCGUCUAGGUGGUUAUAUAAGUCUGAUGUGAAAAUGCAGGGCUCAACUCUGUAUUGCGUUGGAAACUGUAUAACUAGAGUACUGGAGAGGUAAGCGGAACUACAAGUGUAGAGGUGAAAUUCGUAGAUAUUUGUAGGAAUGCCGAUGGGGAAGCCAGCUUACUGGACAGAUACUGACGCUGAAGCGCGAAAGCGUGGGUAGCAAACAGG
Molecule: ribosomal RNA, 735 nt
Filed under: uncultured Fusobacterium sp.
Lineage: Bacteria; Fusobacteriati; Fusobacteriota; Fusobacteriia; Fusobacteriales; Fusobacteriaceae
Description: bacterial SSU rRNA
Rfam family: Bacterial small subunit ribosomal RNA
Source: RNAcentral